RNAcentral lists this transfer RNA (74 nucleotides) under Bacillus sp. RO1. RNAcentral describes it as "tRNA-Gly". It matches the Rfam family "tRNA". Rfam says of the family: Transfer RNA (tRNA) molecules are approximately 80 nucleotides in length. Lineage: Bacteria; Bacillati; Bacillota; Bacilli; Caryophanales; Bacillaceae. The record is from RNAcentral.
GCGGGUGUAGUUUAAUGGUAAAACCUCAGCCUUCCACGCUGAUGUCGUGGGUUCGAUUUCCAUAACCCGCUCCA